RNAcentral lists this non-coding RNA (155 nucleotides) under uncultured Prevotella sp. The record is from RNAcentral. Lineage: Bacteria; Pseudomonadati; Bacteroidota; Bacteroidia; Bacteroidales; Prevotellaceae.
UCGGUUCACCAUGGAGUGAUUAAUAGGGAAUCAGGUGUAAAUCCUGAACAGUCCCGCUGCUGUAAGCCGUCCUUAUCGGAGCAGACACAGAGUCACUGAGAUUAUCGGGAAGACGUCUGCGACCGGACGGUAAGUCAGAAGACCUGCCGAUGACA